UGGGGAAUAUUGCACAAUGGGCGCAAGCCUGAUGCAGCCAUGCCGCGUGUAUGAAGAAGGCCUUCGGGUUGUAAAGUACUUUCAGUCGGGAGGAAGGUGGUAAGGUUAAUAACCUUAUCAAUUGACGUUACCGACAGAAGAAGCACCGGCUAACUCCGUGCCAGCAGCCGCGGUAAUACGGAGGGUGCAAGCGUUAAUCGGAAUUACUGGGCGUAAAGCGCACGCAGGCGGUUUAUUGAGUCAGAUGUGAAAUCCCCGGGCUUAACCCGGGAAUUGCAUCUGAUACUGGUCAGCUAGAGUCUUGUAGAGGGGGGUAGAAUUCCAUGUGUAGCGGUGAAAUGCGUAGAGAUGUGGAGGAAUACCGGUGGCGAAGGCGGCCCCCUGGACAAAGACUGACGCUCAGGUGCGAAAGCGUGGGGAGCAAACA
RNAcentral lists this ribosomal RNA (427 nucleotides) under uncultured bacterium. RNAcentral's name for it is "partial 16S ribosomal RNA". It matches the Rfam family "Bacterial small subunit ribosomal RNA", at positions 355 to 774 of the family's 1533-position model. The record is from RNAcentral.